AGUGAACGCUGGCAGUAGGCCUAACACAUGCAAGUCGAACGGCAGCACAGUAAGAGCUUGCUCUUACGGGUGGCGAGUGGCGGACGGGUGAGGAAUACAUCGGAAUCUACUUUUUCGUGGGGGAUAACGUAGGGAAACUUACGCUAAUACCGCAUACGACCUACGGGUGAAAGCAGGGGAUCUUCGGACCUUGCGCGAUUGAAUGAGCCGAUGUCGGAUUAGCUAGUUGGCGGGGUAAGGGCCCACCAAGGCGACGAUCCGUAGCUGGUCUGAGAGGAUGAUCAGCCACACUGGAACUGAGACACGGUCCAGACUCCUACGGGAGGCAGCAGUGGGGAAUAUUGGACAAAGGGCGCAAGCCUGAUCCAGCCAUACCGCGUGGGUGAAGAAGGCCUUCGGGUUGUAAAGCCCUUUUGUUGGGAAAGAAAAGCAGCAGGUUAAUACCCCGCUGUUCUGACGGUACCCAAAGAAUAAGCACCGGCUAACUUCGUG
RNAcentral lists this ribosomal RNA (492 nucleotides) under uncultured bacterium. RNAcentral's name for it is "partial 16S ribosomal RNA". It matches the Rfam family "Bacterial small subunit ribosomal RNA", at positions 29 to 507 of the family's 1533-position model. The record is from RNAcentral.